CCUACGGGUGGCAGCAGUCGAGAAUCAUUCACAAUGGGGGAAACCCUGAUGGUGCGACGCCGCGUGGGGGAAUGAAGGUCUUCGGAUUGUAAACCCCUGUCAUGUGGGAGCAAAUUAAAAAGAUAGUACCACAAGAGGAAGAGACGGCUAACUCUGUGCCAGCAGCCGCGGUAAUACAGAGGUCUCAAGCGUUGUUCGGAAUCACUGGGCGUAAAGGGUGCGUAGGCGGUUUCGUAAGUCGUGAGUGAAAGGCGCGGGCUCAACCCGCGGACGGCACAUGAUACUGCGAGACUAGAGUAAUGGAGGGGGAACCGGAAUUCGCGGUGUAGCAGUGAAAUGCGUAGAUAUCGAGAGGAACACUCGUGGCGAAGGCGGGUUCCUGGACAUUAACUGACGCUGAGGCACGAAGGCCAAGGGAGCGAAAGGGAUUAGAUACCCGAGUAGUC
Molecule: ribosomal RNA, 446 nt
Filed under: uncultured bacterium
Lineage: Bacteria
Description: partial 16S ribosomal RNA
Rfam family: Bacterial small subunit ribosomal RNA
Source: RNAcentral